CCCACUGCUAUCGGGAUGGGGCUAAGACAUGCUAGUCGAGCGUCUCCAAGCCAUGGUGGAGGCGCGGCACACAGCUCAGUAACACGUGGCUAACCUGUCCUUGGGACAGGGACAACCCCGGGAAACUGGGGCUAAUCCCUGAUAGGUGAGAACUCCUGGAAUGGAUUCUCGCUCAAAGGGCGUCUAGGCCAUGCUUCUAGGCGUUGCCCAAGGAGGGGGCCGCGGCCGAUCAGGUUGUUGGUGAGGUAAUGGCUCACCAAGCCUUUAACCGGUACGGGCCGUGAGAGCGGUAGCCCGGAGAUGGGCACUGAGACAAGGGCCCAGGCCCUACGGGGCGCAGCAGUCGCGAAAACUCCGCAAUUCACGAAAGUGUGACGGGGCCAUCCCGAGUGCCAUCCGCUGAGGAUAGCUUUUCCCCAGUGUACAAAGCUGGGGGAAUAAGGAGAGGGCAAGCCUGGUGUCAGCCGCCGCGGUAAUACCAGCUCUCCGAGUGGUGGGGAUGCUUAUUGGGCCUAAAGCAUUCGUAGCCGGCUGGGCAAGUCCUCCGUUAAAUCCAACGAUUCAAUCGUUGGGCUGCGGGGGAUACUGUCUGGCUAGGGGGCGGGAGAGGUCGACGGUAUUCUCGGGGUAGGGGUGAAAUCCUAUAAUCCCGGGAGGACCACCAGUGGCGAAGGCUGUCGACUAGAACGCGCCCGACGGUGAGGGAUGAAAGCUGGGGUAGCGAACCGGAUUAGAUACCUGGGUAGUCCCAGCUGUAAACGAUGCAGGCUAGGUGUUGGCGCGGCUACGUGCCGCUCCAGUGCCGCAGGGAAGCUGUUAAGCCUGCCGCCUGGGAAGUACGGCCGCAAGGCUGAAACUUAA
This 861-nucleotide ribosomal RNA is filed under the name uncultured archaeon. Its description in RNAcentral is "bacterial SSU rRNA". It matches the Rfam family "Archaeal small subunit ribosomal RNA", at positions 23 to 859 of the family's 1478-position model. The record is from RNAcentral.